Molecule: long non-coding RNA, 250 nt
Organism: Calidris pugnax (ruff)
Lineage: Eukaryota; Metazoa; Chordata; Aves; Charadriiformes; Scolopacidae
Exons: 2
Source: RefSeq, a predicted model, not a curated record
GUCAGGGCAGCCAGAGGACAACUCUCAUCAUGAUUACUGAGGUGUUCUGCAUCUGCUGUUGAUGACCUGAUGCUGUGAGAAAGUCCCACCUGUGACUGCUGCUUGUCCUCCUCCACUUGAUGAAGUCUGGGCUCUACCAGCUGUGGGAAAUGGGAAAGAAAAGAGAAGUCUGCCCGGUGGAGCAGCCCCCCUUCCCUGCAGUCUCUAACCAAGUGUGCUUAGGAAUAUAGACUUCACCUUGUCCAUUGCA